This 305-nucleotide ribosomal RNA is filed under the name uncultured bacterium. RNAcentral describes it as "bacterial SSU rRNA". It matches the Rfam family "Bacterial small subunit ribosomal RNA", at positions 333 to 630 of the family's 1533-position model. The record is from RNAcentral.
AGUGUCCUACGGGGCGCAGCAGUAGGGAAUCUUCCACAAUGGGCGAAGGCCUGAUGGAGCAACGCCGCGUGGGUGAAGAAGGUCUUCGGAUCGUAAAACCCUGUUGUUAGAGAAGAAAGUGCGUGAGAGUAACUGUUCACGUUUCGACGGUAUCUAACCAGAAAGCCACGGCUAACUACGUGCCCGCAGCCGCGGUAAUACGUAGGUGGUAAGCGUUAUCCGGAUUUAUUGGGCGUAAAGGGAACGCAGGCGGUCUUUUAAGUCUGAUGUGAAAUCCUUCGGCUUAACCGGAGUAGUGCAUUGGA